AUUGAACGCUGGCGGCAUGCCUUACACAUGCAAGUCGAACGGUAACAGGUCUUCGGAUGCUGACGAGUGGCGAACGGGUGAGUAAUACAUCGGGACGUGCCUAGUAGUGGGGGAUAACUACUCGAAAGAGUGGCUAAUACCGCAUGAGAUCUACGGAUGAAAGCAGGGGAUCGCAAGAGCUUGUGUUACUAGAGCGGCCGAUGGCAGAUUAGGUAGUUGGUGGGAUAAAAGCUUACCAAGCCGCCGAUCUGUAGCUGGUCUGAGAGGACGGUCAGCCACACUGGGCCUGAGACACGGCCCAGACUCCUACGGGAGGCAGCAGUGGGGAAUUUUGGACAAUGGGCGCAAGCCUGAUCCAGCAAUGCCGCGUGCAGGAUGAAGGCCUUCGGGUUGUAAACUGCUUUUGUACGGAACGAAAAGCCCCGGGUUAAUACCCUGGGGUCAUGACGGUACCGUAAGAAUAAGCACCGGCUAACUACGUGCCAGCCGCCGCCGUAA
This 498-nucleotide ribosomal RNA is filed under the name uncultured bacterium. RNAcentral describes it as "partial 16S ribosomal RNA". It matches the Rfam family "Bacterial small subunit ribosomal RNA", at positions 30 to 523 of the family's 1533-position model. The record is from RNAcentral.